GACGAACGCUGGCGGCGUGCUUAACACAUGCAAGUCGAACGGUGAAGCGCCUUCCUUUUUGGUGGGUGUGGAUGAGUGGCGAACGGGUGAGUAACACGUGAGUAACCUGCCCCCUUCUUUUGGAUAACCGCAUGAAAGUGUGGCUAAUACGGGAUAUUCUGGGUCUGUCGCAUGAUGGGUCUGGGAAAGAUAUUGUUUCGGUGGGGGAUGGGCUCGCGGCCUAUCAGCUUGUUGGUGGGGUGAUGGCCUACCAAGGCGGUGACGGGUAGCCGGCCUGAGAGGGUGGACGGUCACACUGGGACUGAGACACGGCCCAGACUCCUACGGGAGGCAGCAGUGGGGAAUAUUGCACAAUGGGCGCAAGCCUGAUGCAGCGACGCCGCGUGAGGGAUGGAGGCCUUCGGGUUGUGAACCUCUUUCGCCAGUGAAGCAGGCCUGCCUCGUUUGUGGGUGGGUUGACGGUAGCUGGAUAAGAAGCGCCGGCUAACUACGUG
This 494-nucleotide ribosomal RNA is filed under the name uncultured bacterium. RNAcentral describes it as "partial 16S ribosomal RNA". It matches the Rfam family "Bacterial small subunit ribosomal RNA", at positions 28 to 507 of the family's 1533-position model. The record is from RNAcentral.